UACGGGGGGGGCAAGCGUUGUUCGGAAUUACUGGGCGUAAAGGGCUCGUAGGCGGCCAACUAAGUCAGACGUGAAAUCCCUCGGCUUAACCGGGGAACUGCGUCUGAUACUGGAUGGCUUGAGUUUGGGAGAGGGAUGCGGAAUUCCAGGUGUAGCGGUGAAAUGCGUAGAUAUCGGGAGGAACACCUGUGGCGAAAGCGGCUCACUGGACCGCAACUGACGCUGAGGCGCGAAAGCUAGGGGAGUAAACAGG
RNAcentral lists this ribosomal RNA (253 nucleotides) under uncultured bacterium. RNAcentral's name for it is "partial 16S ribosomal RNA". It matches the Rfam family "Bacterial small subunit ribosomal RNA", at positions 524 to 776 of the family's 1533-position model. The record is from RNAcentral.